Molecule: ribosomal RNA, 240 nt
Filed under: uncultured bacterium
Lineage: Bacteria
Description: partial 16S ribosomal RNA
Rfam family: Bacterial small subunit ribosomal RNA
Source: RNAcentral
GACCCUGGCUCAGGAUGAACGCUAGCUACAGGCUUAACACAUGCAAGUCGAGGGGAAACGACAUCGAAAGCUUGCUUUUGAUGGGCGUCGACCGGCGCACGGGUGAGUAACGCGUAUCCAACCUGCCCAUCACUUGGGAAUAACCCUGCGAAAGUAAGACUAAUGCCCAAUGACAUCCCACGAAGGCAUCCGAAUGGGAUUAAAGAUUUAUCGGUGAUGGAUGGGGAUGCGUCUGAUUAG